RNAcentral lists this ribosomal RNA (500 nucleotides) under uncultured bacterium. RNAcentral's name for it is "partial 16S ribosomal RNA". It matches the Rfam family "Bacterial small subunit ribosomal RNA", at positions 30 to 523 of the family's 1533-position model. The record is from RNAcentral.
AUUGAACGCUGGCGGAAUGCUUUACACAUGCAAGUCGAACGGCAGCACGGGGGCAACCCUGGUGGCGAGUGGCGAACGGGUGAGUAAUACAUCGGAACGUGCCCAGUCGUGGGGGAUAACGUGGCGAAAGUUACGCUAAUACCGCAUACGAUCUACGGAUGAAAGCGGGGGACCGUAAGGCCUCGCGCGAUUGGAGCGGCCGAUGUCAGAUGAGGUAGUUGGUGAGGUAAAGGCUCACCAAGCCGACGAUCUGUAGCUGGUCUGAGAGGACGACCAGCCACACUGGGACUGAGACACGGCCCAGACUCCUACGGGAGGCAGCAGUGGGGAAUUUUGGACAAUGGGCGCAAGCCUGAUUCAGCCAUUCCGCGUGCAGGACGAAGGCCUUCGGGUUGUAAACUGCUUUUGUACGGAACGAAAAGGCUCUGGUUAAUACCUGGGGCUCAUGACGGUACCGUAAGAAUAAGCACCGGCUAACUACGUGCCAGCCGCCGCAGUAA